This 109-nucleotide transfer RNA is filed under the name Chelonia mydas (Green sea turtle). It matches the Rfam family "tRNA". From Rfam's summary of the family: Transfer RNA (tRNA) molecules are approximately 80 nucleotides in length. Lineage: Eukaryota; Metazoa; Chordata; Testudines; Cheloniidae. The record is from Rfam by way of RNAcentral.
GUCAGGAUGGCUGGGUGGUCUAAGGCAGCAAACUCAAGCCUCUAUCUUCUCCUCAACUGGGUAUUCUGGUCUCUGUAUGAAGCCAUGGGUUCAAAUCCCACUCCUGACA